UUGACCUCGGAUCAGGUAGGAAGACCCGCUGAACUUAAGCAUAUCAAUAAGCGGAGGAAAAGAAACCAACAGGGAUUGCCCUAGUAACGGCGAGUGAAGCGGCAACAGCUCAAAUUUGAAAUCUGGCUUCGGCCCGAGUUGUAAUUUGCAGAGGAAGCUUUAGGCGCGGCACCUUCUGAGUCCCCUGGAACGGGGCGCCAUAGAGGGUGAGAGCCCCGUAUAGUUGGAUGCCUAGCCUGUGUAAAGCUCCUUCGACGAGUCGAGUAGUUUGGGAAUGCUGCUCAAAAUGGGAGGUAAAUUUCUUCUAAAGCUAAAUACCGGCCAGAGACCGAUAGCGCACAAGUAGAGUGAUCGAAAGAUGAAAAGCACUUUGAAAAGAGGGUUAAACAGCACGUGAAAUUGUUGAAAGGGAAGCGCUUGUGACCAGACUUGCGCCAGGCUGAUCAUCCGGUGUUCUCACCGGUGCACUCGGCCCGGCACAGGCCAGCAUCGGUUCUCGCGGGGGGAUAAAGGUCUCGGGAACGUAGCUCCUCCGGGAGUGUUAUAGCCCGGGGCGUAAUGCCCUCGCGGGGACCGAGGUCGCGCAUCUGCAAGGAUGCUGGCGUAAUGGUCAUCAGCGAC
This 621-nucleotide ribosomal RNA is filed under the name Trichocladium arxii. RNAcentral's name for it is "eukaryotic LSU rRNA". It matches the Rfam family "Eukaryotic large subunit ribosomal RNA", at positions 1 to 648 of the family's 3401-position model. The record is from RNAcentral. Lineage: Eukaryota; Fungi; Ascomycota; Sordariomycetes; Sordariales; Chaetomiaceae.